RNAcentral lists this transfer RNA (66 nucleotides) under Lunella aff. cinerea STW-2013. RNAcentral's name for it is "tRNA-Val". The record is from RNAcentral. Lineage: Eukaryota; Metazoa; Mollusca; Gastropoda; Trochida; Turbinidae.
UAGAGUAUAGCAUAAAUCAAUGUAUUUCGCUUACACCGAAAUGAUAGCUACGUUAGCUUACUCUAA